AUGAAGCAUUGUCGAACAGCCGACGUCGGCGGUGCUUCAUUGCAACCUCGCCGGAGCUUCCAACGACCGCCGCGGCGCUUCACUGCAACCUCGUCGGAGCUUCACUGCAACCUCGCCGGAGCUCCAAGAACCGCCGUGGCGCUUCAUUGCAACCUCGCCGGAGCUUCAUUGCAACCUCAGCCGUGCUCCAUGGUAGCACCCCGACGACCGCCGGCGAAGCUUCAUUGCAGCGUCACCACCACCGCGCGGCCGUGCUCCAUCGCAGCACCGCUGCCCGCCUGCCCCGUCAAAGCUCCACCGCAGCACCAGACGGGCGCCGGCGAAGCUUCACUUCAGCGCAACGCGACGGCGUCGAGGUGCUGCGGCGAAUCAGGCGACCGCGAUGGCGGAUGUUGUGACACAACACGGCGGCGACGGCGAUGCUGCGAUGCAGACGCGGUGGCGACAGAGCUCUCGAGGCCCGAUGUUGUGAUGCUCCUCUCCUCAACCUCCCCACUGCAGCAUGUGAGGCGAGUGGUGACCCGCCUCCAACACCGUCGUCUUCUGCAGCUCCGGUGGCCACACCGAACCCUCGUCCCCCCUUGGAGCAGCGAUGCCCUGCGAUGGAUCUAUCACAUGGGUCCUAGGAUUUGUGUUGGAGCUUCGCCGGAGGGAGAGAAGGUGAGCGGGAAGGUUGUUGGUGCCGGCGGUGGGUUGGACGGGAUCGAGGGGUGA
This 714-nucleotide ribosomal RNA is filed under the name Triticum aestivum (bread wheat). RNAcentral's name for it is "partial small subunit ribosomal RNA". The record is from RNAcentral. Lineage: Eukaryota; Viridiplantae; Streptophyta; Magnoliopsida; Poales; Poaceae.